Molecule: unclassified non-coding RNA, 333 nt
Filed under: soil metagenome
Description: partial contains 5.8S ribosomal RNA, internal transcribed spacer 2, and large subunit ribosomal RNA
Rfam family: 5.8S ribosomal RNA (bases 1-121)
Source: RNAcentral
GAUGAAGAAACGUAGCGAAAUGCGAUAAGUAAUGUGAAUUGCAGAAUUCAGUGAAUCAUCGAAUCUUUGAACGCACAUUGCGCCCCUUGGUAUUCCGGGGGGCAUGCCUGUUCGAGCGUCAUUUCAACCCUCAAGCUCUGCUUGGUAUUGGGCCCGGUGGGCGAUUGCCUACCAGCCUUAAAGAGAGUGGCGGUGCCCCGCGGCCCUGAGCGUAGUAACUACUCCCGCUAUAGGUGUCCACGGGCUCACCAGCCAGCAACCCCAACUUUCUAUGGUUGACCUCGGAUCAGGUAGGGAUACCCGCUGAACUUAAGCAUAUCAAUAAGCGGAGGA